GAUGAACGCUGGCGGCGUGCCUAAUACAUGCAAGUCGAGCGAAAAGACGAGGAGUUUGCUCCUCUGACGUUAGCGGCGGACGGGUGAGUAACACGUGGAUAACCUACCUAUAAGACUGGGAUAACUUCGGGAAACCGGAGCUAAUACCGGAUAAUAUAUUGAACCGCAUGGUUCAAUAGUGAAAGACGGUUUUGCUGUCACUUAUAGAUGGAACCGCUCCGCAUUAGCUAGUUGGUAAGGUAACGGCUUACCAAGGCGACGAUGCGUAGCCGACCUGAGAGAGGGAUCGGCCACACUGGAACUGGGACACGGUCCAGACUCCUGCGGUAGGCAGCAGUAGGGAAUCUUCCGCAGUGGGCGAAAGCCUGACGGAGCAACGCCGCGUGAGUGAUGAAGGUCUUCGGAUCGUAAAGCUCUGUUAUUAGGGAAAAACAAAUGUGUAAGUAACUAUGCACGUCUUGACGGUACCUAAUCAGAAAGCCACGGCUAACUACGUG
This 497-nucleotide ribosomal RNA is filed under the name uncultured bacterium. RNAcentral describes it as "partial 16S ribosomal RNA". It matches the Rfam family "Bacterial small subunit ribosomal RNA", at positions 28 to 507 of the family's 1533-position model. The record is from RNAcentral.